RNAcentral lists this ribosomal RNA (717 nucleotides) under Leotiomycetes sp. Its description in RNAcentral is "SSU rRNA". It matches the Rfam family "Eukaryotic small subunit ribosomal RNA", at positions 827 to 1570 of the family's 1831-position model. The record is from RNAcentral. Lineage: Eukaryota; Fungi; Ascomycota; Leotiomycetes.
CGUGUGGUUCUAUUUUGUUGGUUUCUAGGACCGCCGUAAUGAUUAAUAGGGAUAGUCGGGGGCAUCAGUAUUCCGUUGUCAGAGUGAAAUUCUUGGAUUUACGGAAGACUAACUACUGCGAAAGCAUUUGCCAAGGAUGUUUUCAUUAAUCAGUGAACGAAAGUUAGGGGAUCGAAGACGAUCAGAUACCGUCUAGUCUUAACCAUAAACUAUGCCGACUAGGGAUCGGGCGAUGUUAUUUUUUGACUCGCUCGGCACCUUACGAGAAAUCAAAGUUUUUGGGUUCUGGGGGGAGUAUGGUCGCAUGGCUGAAACUUAAAGAAAUUGACGGAAGGGCACCACCAGGAGUGGAGCCUGCGGCUUAAUUUGACUCAACACGGGGAAACUCACCAGGUCCAGACACAAUAAGGAUUGACAGAUUGAGAGCUCUUUCUUGAUUUUGUGGGUGGUGGUGCAUGGCCGUUCUUAGUUGGUGGAGUGAUUUGUCUGCUUAAUUGCGGUAACGAACGAGACCUUAACCUGCUAAAUAGCCCGGCUAGCUUUGGCUGGUCGCUGGCUUCUUAGAGGGACUAUCGGCUCAAGCCGAUGGAAGUUUGAGGCAAUAACAGGUCUGUGAUGCCCUUAGAUGUUCUGGGCCGCACGCGCGCUACACUGACAGAGCCAGCGAGUACUCCCUUGGCCGGAAGGUCCGGGUAAUCUUGUUAAACUCUGUCGUGC